RNAcentral lists this transfer RNA (76 nucleotides) under candidate division WWE3 bacterium CG_4_10_14_0_2_um_filter_42_7. Its description in RNAcentral is "tRNA-Arg". It matches the Rfam family "tRNA". Rfam says of the family: Transfer RNA (tRNA) molecules are approximately 80 nucleotides in length. Their secondary structure includes four short double-helical elements and three loops (D, anti-codon, and T loops). The record is from RNAcentral. Lineage: Bacteria; candidate division WWE3.
GCGUCUGUAGCUUAAUGGAUAGAGCACUGGGUUGCGGACCCAGCGAUUGAAGGUUCGAAUCCUUCCAGGCGCACCA